Molecule: ribosomal RNA, 763 nt
Filed under: uncultured Streptococcus sp.
Lineage: Bacteria; Bacillati; Bacillota; Bacilli; Lactobacillales; Streptococcaceae
Description: bacterial SSU rRNA
Rfam family: Bacterial small subunit ribosomal RNA
Source: RNAcentral
CACGCACCCCGGCGGCGUGCAUCACCCCACCACGCAGAACGCGAAGGAGGAGCCUUCUUCUCAGGGCAGAGUUGCGAAGCGGUGAGUAACGCGAAGGUAAACAACCUGGUAGCGGAGGAUAACCAUUGGCAACGAUAGCUAAUACCGCAUAAGAGUAGAUGUGCAUGACAUUUACUUAAAAAGGGCAACUGCAUCACUACCAGAAGGACAUGCGUUGUAUAGCUAGUUGGUGGGGUAACGGCUCACCAAGGCGACGAUACAUAGCCGACCUGAGAGGGUGAUCGGCCACACUGGGACUGAGACACGGCCCAGACUCCCCCCCGGCUUUUUUCAGUAGGGAAUCUUCGGCAAUGGGGGGAGGUCUGACCGAGCAACGCCGCGUGAGUGAAGAAGGUUUUCGGAUCGUAAAGCUCUGUUGUAAGAGAAGAACGAGUGUGAGAGUGGAAAGUUCACACUGUGACGGUAUCUUACCAGAAAGGGACGGCUAACUACGUGCCAGCAGCCGCGGUAAUACGUAGGUCCCGAGCGUUGUCCGGAUUUAUUGGGCGUAAAGCGAGCGCAGGCGGUUAGAUAAGUCUGAAGUUAAAGGCUGUGGCUUAACCAUAGUACGCUUUGGAAACUGUUUAACUUGAGUGCAAGAGGGGAGAGUGGAAUUCCAUGUGUAGCGGUGAAAUGCGUAGAUAUAUGGAGGAACACCGGUGGCGAAAGCGGCUCUCUGGAUUGUAACUGACGCUGAGGCUCGAAAGCGUGGGGAGCAAACAGG